GGUACAUGAGCUGGGUUCAGAACGUCGUGAGACAGUUCGGUCUGUAUCCGUCGUGGGCGUAGGAGCAUUGAGGGGCGCCGACCUUAGUACGAGAGGACCGGGUCGGACCGACCGCUCGUGUACCGGCUGUCACGCCAGUGGGGCACGGGGGCACGGAGGCACGGGGGGCACGGAGGCACGGGGCACAGAAAGGGCACAAUGUGCGUUGAAACGGGUUACCUGCAGCACACCGGAAGCAGCACAUU
RNAcentral lists this ribosomal RNA (245 nucleotides) under Gemmatimonadales bacterium. Its description in RNAcentral is "partial 23S ribosomal RNA". It matches the Rfam family "Bacterial large subunit ribosomal RNA", at positions 2595 to 2803 of the family's 2925-position model. The record is from RNAcentral. Lineage: Bacteria; Pseudomonadati; Gemmatimonadota; Gemmatimonadia; Gemmatimonadales.